Argiope bruennichi is the source of this 2140-nucleotide long non-coding RNA. RefSeq lists it as uncharacterized. The record is from RefSeq and is a predicted model, not a curated record. The transcript has 3 exons. NCBI's taxonomy places the organism in Eukaryota, Metazoa, Arthropoda, Arachnida, Araneae, Araneidae.
UACGUUUGAUCGGUGAAACUAUAAGCUGUGAAGAGGUAACUGAAUGUCUGAAGUACAGUGGAAUUGCCAAGGCAACGCUAUUUCUUAAAAAAUGAAAUGGCACGUCUUGGUUCAAUAUUUUAUUCUGUUGGAUAUGGAUAGGAAAUAGUUCUGCAGCAUGUCUUGGAAGGAUUUCACUAAUUUCAAUUGUCAACUCGGCAUACGUUGUUCAUAUCUGAACGUGAUCAUUUAGUAGUCCAUCCACCAUCCUUGUUGUACUGGAAAAGAUAGUAAAAUAUGCUUCUUACCAAGGACAUAAAAUUCAAUACAGAAUGCAAUACUUGCCUUUAAUUGCGGGAAAGUGAAGCCUGGAGUCAUCGACUGAUAAUCCGAAGGAUCAAAACCUGUGUUCGAAAUUGCUUUAAAGGCUGCAUUAAUUCCACCGACAGACGUUACAUUGGAAAACCUUCAUCCCUAGCUGAGAGUGAAUACUUGAAAGACUACAUCUAUUAAAAGCUGAUUACUCCUAGUUGUAUUUUUCUCCUGAAGCCAGCGAACUUUCCAAAUCUGGAAUUUAUUACUCGCAAGUUAUUUCAGAUCUCGUACAAGCAGGAGCAGCAAAUGCUUUGUAAAGAAGUCUAAAUGGAAUACUGGCUUGUCAUGGGUGAUAUAUUUUUCAUUUAAAUUUGCUUCAAGUUUUGAAAGUAUUUUGAACAUUUUUGGAGCAAGUUCACAAUUCUAUCUCACUGAUCAUUCAAAAUAUUAAGGAUUGUAGAAUUGUUAUAUUACAUGUCCACGUAAAAUCAACUUACUAUCUAGGAUUGGAUAUUGAUCGCAAAUGUACUGUUUUUGAAUGAAAACAUCUAUGAAAUAAUUUAACUGGAACUAUAAAACUGAAGCAGAAACUCGAAUUUACAAAUCCAAAGUUCAAUUCGAGAGUACGUCCAAUCAAAAGUACAAACUUAAAUACAAAAUCUUAAUUUUGAAUGGUGAAUUAUGUAGAUACUGCUAGGAAUGUUGAAAAUCUCGUCCAGUAUUGCAUUAGUCCUUAAAACGUGCAAAAAAUUUUCAAGAUCAAUUUUCUAUGCAAUAGUACUUGGCUAUCUUUUAAGGGAAUCCCCUUUGUACUCUUAACCGAGAUAUAUUGGCAAGUUCAUUCAAUUUCCGUUAAAUAUCAAGGAGUAUCAUAGUUCAUGUUCCAUUAUCCACAAAUCUCGUACACACAUAGUAUUAAAAUGCAGACAAAAUCGUAUCUUGUUUUGUAAUCCAAGUUAAAUAAGCUGAGAUUAUGUGGUGAAAAUCCUUGUAAAAUUAUUGAUACAAUAAUAAUGGGUUUAAGGAAAGUAAAUAUUGGUCAAGCAGUACCAACUAGUCAUUCUUCUUGAAACAUGAAUAUUUGGAGAGAAUUUCGCAAGCGGUAUUCCUCGUGCGCGUUUCACAAAUUAUAUUUUGAGCUAUUAAUUUCAAAGACGAAGCGCUUUCGUUAAUAGGUCGGAAACCCACUAAAGCCUACACAUUGGAGUAUUCUCGAAUUCCCUGCAGGCAUCUUUUCAAAGCUCUUCUUAAACCCUGCUUGCCAUUAAUUUGCGCGUGAGUGUAAAAUUAACUUAAUGCUUCAGUUCUAAUAUAAGUGAAUUUAGGUGUAUAAAGAAAGUUUAAGUACAGGUGUUUCAAAAUCGGAUUUUUCCAAUGUUAAAAGUAUGAAGCUAAGUUUCUUUAUAAAAAUGAAGCGCAAGCCCUAGGAAUAUAGGGAAAGGUUUCUUAAAACAGUAGGUUUCGAUGUCAAAUGGGAGAUUUUUCAGGGAGUAUGGGGCGCAAUCAUUAAUGGCGAAAACAUCCGAUAUUGUCAAAUAAAAUUAAAGUUCAAACAUUCAACUCGAGUAGAAAUAUUUGAUUAAUAUUUUACAGAACUAACAUCUAACCAUUUUAUUUCUAUGUAUUAUUGUUUCACUUUAUCUUGCGUUAAUAAAUAGGGUCGCGAGAUUUUCGCAUAAAAAUGGAUUUGACUGUCUUGUAAACGGGUCCUCAACGGGGAAAUUGCCCUCAAAUAAGAUGUUAAGGAGAAAGGGGAAGCAGAUGAGAAGUCUAAUUUUUCCAUACUUAGGGAAAAGUGGAGGGCGGGAUAGGUGCCAGCCGGCUGGUAAUAGGAAGGGAGUGCGAU